GACGAACGCUGGCGGCGUGCCUAAUACAUGCAAGUUGAGCGCUGAAGGUUGGUACUUGUACCAACUGGAUGAGCAGCGAACGGGUGAGUAACGCGUGGGGAAUCUGCCUUUGAGCGGGGGACAACAUUUGGAAACGAAUGCUAAUACCGCAUAAAAACUUUAAACACAAGUUUUAAGUUUGAAAGAUGCAAUUGCAUCACUCAAAGAUGAUCCCGCGUUGUAUUAGCUAGUUGGUGAGGUAAAGGCACACCAAGGCGAUGAUACAUAGCCGACCUGAGAGGGGGAACGGCCACAAUGGGACUGAGACACGGCCCAAACUCCUACGGGAGGCAGCAGGAGGGGAUCUUCGGGAAUGGACGAAAGGCUGACCGAGCAACGCCGCGUGAGGGGAGGAGGUUUUCGGAUCGUAAAACUCUGUUGGUAGAGAAGAACGUUGGUGGGAGUGGAAAGCUCAUAAAGUGACGGUAACUACCCAGAAAGGGACGGCUAACUACGUG
RNAcentral lists this ribosomal RNA (497 nucleotides) under uncultured bacterium. RNAcentral's name for it is "partial 16S ribosomal RNA". It matches the Rfam family "Bacterial small subunit ribosomal RNA", at positions 28 to 507 of the family's 1533-position model. The record is from RNAcentral.